RNAcentral lists this ribosomal RNA (459 nucleotides) under uncultured bacterium. RNAcentral describes it as "bacterial SSU rRNA". It matches the Rfam family "Bacterial small subunit ribosomal RNA", at positions 79 to 518 of the family's 1533-position model. The record is from RNAcentral.
CUUCACUGAGAAGAUAGUGGCGAACGGGUGAGGUAACACGUGGGUAACCUAGCCCAGUAAGAGGGGGGAGUAACAUCCGGAAACGGGUGCUAAUACCGCAUAGUUUCUUGAUCGCAUGAUCGGAAGGAAAGACGGCCUUUGUGCUGUCGCUUAUGGAUGGACCCGCGGCGUAUUGGUUAAGUUGGUGAGGUAACGGCUCACCAAGACGAUGAUACGUAGCCGACCUGAGAGGGUGAUCGGCCACAUUGGGACUGAGACAGGCCCAAACUCCUACGGGAGGCAGCAGUAGGGAAUCUUCCGCAAUGGACGAAAGUCUGACGGAGCAACGCCGCGUGAGUGAAGAAAAGGUUUUCGGAUCGUAAAACUCUGUUGUCAGAGAAGAACAAGUUGGAGAGUAACUGCUCCAGCCUUGACGGUAUCUGACCAGAAAGCCACGGCUAACUACGUGCCAGCCGCUGC